Drosophila albomicans is the source of this 530-nucleotide long non-coding RNA. RefSeq lists it as uncharacterized. The record is from RefSeq and is a predicted model, not a curated record. Lineage: Eukaryota; Metazoa; Arthropoda; Insecta; Diptera; Drosophilidae. The transcript is spliced from 2 exons.
GCAAAUCAUUGGACAAUUCAUUAAAGUUUUCAUUGAAAGAGCAGAAUAGAUUAUUUAUUGCAUUCAAGAAGUGGGGGUGACGACGUCACAGCUGCUUUACAGUGACUGUAAAUGGCAUUGCAAUAAAACGAAAUUAAAUUGCUAUUUUGCAUAUGGCACACACACACUCACACUCUUAUCAACUGAUAUGAGCUCUUUGUCUGCAUGCCAAAAAUAAUAAUGGAAAAACAACAACAACAACGAAAACGACAGCAACUAAAGGCGAAUCCUUUGACAACAGCUGGCGGCACUGGGAGCAGACAAAAUCGAAAUAGUUUUAUAGUUGGCAUACCCCAAAAAAUCAUAACACGCGUUUAUUACCAAGAUUUUGAUGGUCUCUCAACCGGCACAAAUAAUGCCAAAUUCGACCGCAGACGACGCAUCAAAUCCUCAUUGAAUGACCGUCACUAAUUGAUAAAUGUAUCUGCUGCGUGUCCGAAUGCCAUAUUAAAAACAACAAAACAGGAGAAUUUCGAAGGUUUUCACAAAUA